Non-coding RNA from Phrynosoma platyrhinos (Desert horned lizard), 72 nucleotides. Lineage: Eukaryota; Metazoa; Chordata; Lepidosauria; Squamata; Phrynosomatidae. The record is from the annotation of a GenBank genome assembly.
GCCAGCGUAGUGUAGUGGUUUGAGUGUUGGACUACAUCUCUGGAGACCAGAGUUCAAAUCUCUGCUCAGCCA